AGUGAACGCUGGCGGCGUGCCUAAUACAUGCAAGUCGAACGAACGAAUAAGAGCUUGCUCUUAUAAGUUAGUGGCGCACGGGUGAGUAAUAUAUAGCUAAUCUGCCUCUUAGUAGAGGAUAACAGUCGGAAACGAUUGCUAAUACUCUAUACUUCUGCUUUACAUAAGUAAAGUAGAGAAAGUUUUUCGCUAAGAGAUGAGGCUAUACUGUAUCAGCUAGUUGGUAAGGUAACGGCUUACCAAGGCUAUGACGCAUAACUGGUCUGAGAGGAUGAUCAGUCACAUUGGAACUGAGACACGGUCCAAACUCCUACGGGAGGCAGCAGUAGGGAAUAUUGCGCAAUGGGGGAAACCCUGACGCAGCAACGCCGCGUGGAGGAUGACACUUUUCGGAGCGUAAACUCCUUUUAUCGGGAAAGAAUAAUGACGGUACCCGAUGAAUAAGCACCGGCUAACUCCGU
This 461-nucleotide ribosomal RNA is filed under the name uncultured bacterium. RNAcentral describes it as "partial 16S ribosomal RNA". It matches the Rfam family "Bacterial small subunit ribosomal RNA", at positions 29 to 506 of the family's 1533-position model. The record is from RNAcentral.